AUUUCUCUCGUGACAAAUGCUAACCCGCGAUAACAGGUGAACCUGCGGAAGGAUCAUUACUGGGCAACCGAGCGCCCCGGCGCUUACCCCCACCCUCCGCCCGCAGUUCCACCCUCGGCGUGAGGCGGGGCCCCCCUGGGGCCCCGCUGGCCGACAUUAAAACACUGAGCAACCGUGCCGCCUGAAGUGACAAGCAAAUAGUCAAAACUUUCAACAACGGAUCUCUUGGUUCU
This 233-nucleotide unclassified non-coding RNA is filed under the name rhizosphere metagenome. RNAcentral's name for it is "partial ribosomal RNA internal transcribed spacer region". The record is from RNAcentral.